RNAcentral lists this ribosomal RNA (439 nucleotides) under uncultured bacterium. Its description in RNAcentral is "partial 16S ribosomal RNA". It matches the Rfam family "Bacterial small subunit ribosomal RNA", at positions 338 to 795 of the family's 1533-position model. The record is from RNAcentral.
CCUACGGGAGGCAGCAGUGGGGAAUAUUGCACAAUGGGGGAAACCCUGAUGCAGCGACGCCGCGUGAGUGAAGAAGUAUCUCGGUACGUAAAGCUCUAUCAGCAGGGAAGAAAAUGACGGUACCUGACUAAGAAGCCCCGGCUAACUAUGGGCCAGCAGCCGCGGUAAUACGUAGGGGGCAAGAGUUAUCCGGAUUUACUGGGGGUGAAGGGAGCGUAGACGGCAGCAAAAGUCUGGAGUGAAAUCCCGGGGCUUAACCCCGGAACUGCUUUGGCAACUGUGCGGCUGGAGGGCAGGAGGGGGAAGCGGAAUUCCUGGUGUAGCGGUGAAAUGCGUAGAUAUGAGGAGGAACAUCGGUGGCGAAGGCGGCUUACUGGACUGUAACUGACGUUGAGGCUCGAAAGCGUGGGGAGCAAACAGGAUUAGAUACCCUAGUGUC